This is a long non-coding RNA of Perca fluviatilis (European perch), 413 nucleotides long. RefSeq lists it as uncharacterized. Lineage: Eukaryota; Metazoa; Chordata; Actinopteri; Perciformes; Percidae. The record is from RefSeq and is a predicted model, not a curated record. The transcript has 2 exons.
CAUCAUUGUAGUGUAAGUGAUUGGCCUAACUCUCAAGUCCGAGCAAAACACCUCAAAUAAAAUACAUUAGGUCAGGGAUUUUUUCAAUAUGUGGUCCGGGUCCAACCCUGCAAGUCACAAAGAGGAUUCCAGAGGGAGCUCCAUGACAAAAAUAAAAAGCCUGUAAACUGAAGCCAAGGAGGACUGUAGCUGAAUGACCCAUCGAGCUUCACUGGAACUUGAGGUCUCCUGUCCCCUCCUUACGCAACUUCGCUGGUGAGCCGUCUGCUGCACCUCACCUACCCAGCUGAAUUCCCCAAGACCUAACCCAACCCUUCACACCUGCCACGCCAUGAGGGAGCUACACUGCUGCACUCCUUACUUUGUUGUACAAAGAAAAAUAAAGCACCCACCUUAGUGGGUUUUCACUGCAA